GAUGAACGCUAGCGGCAGGCCUAACACAUGCAAGUCGAGGGGUAUAAUUUAGCUUGCUAAAUUAGAGACCGGCGCACGGGUGCGUAACGCGUAUGCAAUCUACCUUGUACAGGGGAAUAGCCCAGAGAAAUUUGGAUUAAUGCCCCAUGGUAUUGAUAAUUGGCAUCAAUUAUCAAUUAAAGUUCCAACGGUACAAGAUGAGCAUGCGUCCCAUUAGUUAGUUGGUAAGGUAACGGCUUACCAAGACGAUGAUGGGUAGGGGUCCUGAGAGGGAGAUCCCCCACACUGGUACUGAGACACGGACCAG
This 307-nucleotide ribosomal RNA is filed under the name uncultured bacterium. RNAcentral describes it as "bacterial SSU rRNA". It matches the Rfam family "Bacterial small subunit ribosomal RNA", at positions 28 to 334 of the family's 1533-position model. The record is from RNAcentral.